Molecule: long non-coding RNA, 3703 nt
Filed under: Nicotiana tabacum (common tobacco)
Lineage: Eukaryota; Viridiplantae; Streptophyta; Magnoliopsida; Solanales; Solanaceae
Description: long non-coding RNA (NTAB_LNC003244)
Source: RNAcentral
UGGUUUGGUGUAGGUCAGAGUUCGACUCGAAUCUUCAAAUGAAGAUUCGAGAAACUAGGGACUGAUUCGAAGCACAAGGAUAUCAGAUCCAUGUUCAGGGCAGUGGGGUGGUCCUAGGGUGUUAAGGAGGUGGUCACCGGCGUCCAUGUUGUCGGCUUUACGGUGAAGGUGUAUAGGGGCGGCUAGGGUUUCAUAGGGUUCAGGGUUUGGUGAAGAAGAUGAGUGAAGGGGGGUUAGGAUAGGGGGCGGGGUAGCAAGGUUAGGCCUUAUAUAUGCUUUAGAGUUUUAGAUCCUGGCCGUUGGAUCAAGGGAGAUCUAUGGCCAGGAUCUAUUCUUUAGGUAGGACGUCGUCGUUUAGGUGGGAAGGUAGUUAAAACCGGGUAGGGAAAUGGGUCGGAUUAAAUUAACGGGUCUAAAGGGCGGGCCUCGAUCCGUUGGAUCAAAGGGAUUGGACGGCUCAGAUCAAACGCCUUGAACGGCGUCGUUAUGGUUAAAUGGGCGAUCUGAUCAAGACCGUUCAUUUAAAUCAUAUCAAUGGCUCUAAUAGGGAUGCUGAUACGGCAUCGUUUGAGUCAGUGCUUGGGCAGGCCUGGCUUGGACUGGGUCUUGCAUUGGCUUUGGGCCUCAUUUGGGGCCCAAUCCGAUUUCUUCACUUCUUUUUUUUUUCUUUUCUUUUUUUCUGAUUUUAAAAUACAACUAAAUUAAACUGAAUUUAAAACACUCAUUAAUCAACACCUAAACAAUUAUCACACACAUAUUAAAAUUUUAAAAAUGGUUAAAUCAUAGCCUAGAAUAAAAGCUGCAUAUUUUUGUGAAUUUUCUUUUAAAGACCGAAUUAUGGCCCGAUUACACACGGCAUACUUAUUUUGUAUUUUUGUUGGAGAAGAUUCAAUGAAAAAUGGAUAGAAACACAAAGGACUACCAGCACAUGUCACGUAAAAAUUGAAAAUUUGUAUGGCGAGGCCAUUUGCAAUUAUUUUGAUUUCUUUUGGAGUGAUUGUUCGUGAAGCAAAAAUCACGUGCUUACACCCGUUACUCGUUUUUUGGCAUUUUAAGGUCAUAAAACUUGAAUUCCGCCCGAUUCCCAGAUUUUCGUAUGCUAUAACCCACACCUCCUACAUGGGCCGGGGCGAUCGGUCCCCGAUCGCCUAAAACUUUGCUAGCCCAUCAAAAAUGACCUAAGAAAAAAUAGCCACCGCCCACCACAACUGUUACUCGUUUUUUAGCAUUCUAGGGUCGUAAAACUGGAAUUUUGCAUGAUUCCCAAAUUUUCGUGUGCUAUAGCCUAUGCCUCCUGCACGGGCCCCAGAUAUCGGACCCGGAUCGCCUAAAAUAUUCUCGGCCCGACAAAAACAAUCUAAGAAUAAUAGUUACCGCCUCGCCAUUAGCGUUACUCGUUUUUGGGCGUUUUAGGGUCAUAAAACUGGAAUUCUGUCCGAUUCUCAAAUUUUCGUGUGCCUCCUGCGUGGGGCCGGGCAAACAAAUUAGGGUCGCCUAUAAUUUUUCCAGCCCAUCAAAACGACCGAAGGAACAAUAGUCACCGCCUCUCCAUAAUCGUUGUUCGGUUUUUUUGGUGUUUUAAAGCCAUAAAACUGGAAUUCUGCGUGAUUCCUAGAUUUUCAUGUGCUAUAGCCCACACCUUCUGCAUGUACCCAGGCACCAGGACCCGCAUUGCCUAAAAAUUUUGUCAGCCAUUAAAUAUGACCUAAGGAAUAAUAGUCACUGCCUCGCCAUUACCGUUACACAUUUUUUGACAUUUUAGGGCCAUAAAAUUGGAAUUCGCCUAAUUUUCAAAUUUUAAUGUGCCCAAGCCCAUGCCUCCUGCACAUGCACGGGUCCGGGAGCCCGAAUCUGGAUCACCUAAAAAUUUUCAGGCCCAUCAAAAAUGAUCUAAGGAACAAUGGUCACAGCCUCUCCAUGAUCAUUACUCGUUUUUUGGCGUUUUAGGGCUAUAAAACUAGAAUUUCCCCGAUUCCCAGAUUUUCGUGUGCUAUAUAGCCCACACCUCUUGCAUGGGCCCGGACGCCUGAACCUGGAUCGUCUAAAAAUUUUCUAGACCAUAAAAAAUGACUUAAGAAAAUAUAGUCACUGCCUCGCCAUGACUGUUACUCAUUUUUUGGCAUCUUAGGGCCAUAAAAUUGGAAUUCUGCUCAAUUUCUAGAUUUUCGUGUUCUAUAGCCUGCGCUUCCUGCAUGGGCCCAAACAAACGAGCCUGGAUCGCCUAAAAUUCGUCGGCCCAUAAAAAAUGACCUAAGGAGCAAUAGUCACCGCCUAGCCAUGAUCGUUACUCGUUUUUUUGGCAUUUUAGGACCAUAAAACUGGAAUUCAAACCGAUUCCCAAAUUUUCGUGUGCAAUAGCCUGCACCUCCUGCAUAGGGGCGCCCAAACCUGGAUCGCCUAAAUUGCAGGGCCAUCAAAAAUGAUCUAAUGAAUAAUAGGCACCGCCUAGGCAUGAUUGUUACUCGUUUUUUAGCGUUUAAGGGCCAAAAACUAGAAUUCGGGCCAAAAACUCCUAAUGUUGUGAAUUUCAUCUGCUUACCAGAUGGUUAUGUGACUGUACUGUGCUAAACAAUCAUACUCCACUUGUGAGAUUUUUCUGGUUUGUUGUUAUUAUUGUAUAAACAGAAAAUGUAAAUUAAAGAUCUUCUAAUGACAUGAUUAAUGUAAUCUAACCUAUUAUAGUAGUUUUAGUAUAAUAGGAUAGUUACAAUUUUUUUUCAGAUUACUAUUGAGAAUUCGUCAUAAAUAUUUACCUAUAAUUACCUUAUAAAUGACCUGAUUAUGUAAAUAUUUUUAUACCGUCAAUUUUAAGACUAACGGUCAGUUAUUAAAACUAGCUGCUCCACUUUCAAUAUCCUCCUACCAUCUAAAUUGGUAAUUUUCAUGUUUUUGGCCUUCUAGUAGAUUAUAUGAACUGUGUAAGCUUGUUCCUAAGGCAUGUAGUUAAGAAUUUUGCUCGUAAUAUCGCAAGUAGCUAGACCAUCAACACAUGAUUCGUAUGAGUACAAAAGUGUUCAUAAUAAUAUCAGAUCAUACAUCAAGCUGAUCAUCAACUCAUAUUUUUCCCCUUAAUUAUGACCACUUGGUCUUUUUAUAGAUCCACUUCAGAGGAUUACAAAUAUAGUACUAUUACUAUAUACUUGACUUUAAGUUGCUUUUUAGAGCAAUUAUUUAAGUUCUUGAUAUCAAGCAGAACAAUCCAUACAUAUUAACGUGAAAUGGACGUAGGUCGUUUCAAUUAGUAUGGACUUUCGCCUCUAUAAUUACCUGGAGGAUCAUAGUUGCAAGAGACAACAUAUCCUCCAUUGUUACACUGAACCCUAGCACAUCCAACACGAACCGAGUUACGCCAAACCACCUGAGUAUAGUGUCCACACACCUGUCCUUGUGCACAAGUAUUUGAGUCAUGGUCAUAAUACUGUUUCUCAUCGACCCACAUCUCAACGGCCUUAGCAGCCGUCAUGAAAUCGCCACUUCCCUCAGCUAGGUUUUCGCCGUAUUGACCAUGAGAAUGUACGAGGUUACAAUCUGCAGCCAAUUGGGAAGCAUAAUUUUGCGCAUAGGCUGCUACCUGGUCGUCCCAGGUCAAAGGUUCUACACCUACAUCUGCACGAGCUGUGUUAUGGGCAUCCAAAUAGUCUUGUUGAGAAUUUUGGGCACGGCAAGAGUGGGAUAUUACUAGGAAUAAGAGAAGUGUAGAGAC